Molecule: transfer RNA, 74 nt
Filed under: Cyanobacteria bacterium M_DeepCast_200m_mx_001
Lineage: Bacteria; Bacillati; Cyanobacteriota
Description: tRNA-Ser
Source: RNAcentral
GCCUCUUCAUCACUUGGUUUACCAAUUGCCUUCUAAGCAGCCGGUCGAUGGUUCGAGUCCAUCAGGGGGCGUCA